GAGUUUGAUCCUGGCUCAGAGCGAACGCUGGCGGCAGGCCUAACACAUGCAAGUCGAGCGGCCGUAGCAAUACGGCAGCGGCAGACGGGAGAGUAACACGUGGGAACGCGCCCUUCGGUUCGGAAUAACUCAGGGAAACUUGAGCUAAUACCGGAUACGGCCCUUACGGGGAAAGAUUUAUUGCCGAAGGAACGGCCCGCGUCGGAUUAGCUAGUUGGUGAGGUAAUGGCUCACCAAGGCGACGAUCCGUAGCCUGGUCUGAGAGGAUGACCAGCCUCACUGGGACUGAGACACGGCCCAGACUCCUACGGGAGGCAGCAGUGGGGGAAUAUUGGACAAGUGGGCGCAAGCCUGAUCCAGCCAUGCCGCGUGGAGUGAUGAAGGCCUUA
RNAcentral lists this ribosomal RNA (389 nucleotides) under uncultured bacterium. RNAcentral's name for it is "bacterial SSU rRNA". It matches the Rfam family "Bacterial small subunit ribosomal RNA", at positions 9 to 419 of the family's 1533-position model. The record is from RNAcentral.